AUGCACCAGCUCCCCACCCCAUGGCUCCUCCCAGUCCCAGCACAAACAGCAGUAACAACAGCAGCAACAACAGCAGUGGGGAACAGUUGAGUAAAACCAAUCUGUACAUUCGAGGCCUUCCACCCGGCACGACUGACCAGGACCUUAUCAAGCUUUGCCAGCCGUAUGGGAAAAUUGUAUCCACAAAGGCAAUUCUUGACAAAAACACAAAUCAGUGCAAAGGUUAUGGUUUUGUAGAUUUUGACAGUCCAGCAGCAGCACAGAAAGCAGUAGCAUCUCUUAAGGCAAAUGGUGUGCAGGCCCAGAUGGCAAAGCAACAAGAGCAAGACCCUACAAAUCUAUACAUCUCAAAUUUACCGAUUUCUAUGGAUGAGCAGGAACUGGAGAACAUGCUGAAACCCUUUGGACAUGUCAUUUCCACCAGAAUAUUAAGAGAUGCUAAUGGAGUCAGCAGAGGAGUCGGCUUUGCCAGAAUGGAGUCUACAGAAAAAUGUGAAGUAGUAAUUCAACAUUUCAAUGGAAAAUAUCUGAAAACCCCACCUGGUGUACCAGCCCCCACUGAGCCUUUGCUGUGUAAAUUUGCUGAUGGAGGGCAAAAGAAGCGACAGAAUCAAAGCAAAUACACACAGAAUGGAAGGCCGUGGCCAAGAGAAGGAGAGGCCAGCAUGGCUUUGACUUAUGAUCCAACAGCUGCUAUACAGAACGGAUUUUAUUCCUCACCGUACAGUAUUGCAACAAAUCGCAUGAUUCCACAGACAUCUAUCACACCAUUCAUUGCUGCUUCCCCUGUCUCUACAUACCAGGUCCAGAGUACUUCAUGGAUGCCUCAUCCGCCAUAUGUUAUGCAACCAACAGGUGCUGUGAUAACGCCGACAAUGGACCACACUAUGUCAAUGCAGCCAGCAAGCAUGAUGGGCCCCCUGACCCAACAGAUGAACCACCUUUCCUUGGGCACAACAGGAACGUAUAUGACUGCUGCUGCUCCUAUGCAAGGGACCUACAUUCCCCAGUACACUCCUGUGCCUCCAACAGCUGUCCCUAUUGAAGGUGUUGUUGCUGAUACCUCUCCGCAGACAGUAGCAUCUUCAUCACAGGAAGCCAGUGGUCAACAGCAACAGAUGACAGUGGAAACAUCCAGUGAACACGCGCCUGCAUAUUCUUACCAACAGUCUAAACAAUAAACAAGACUGAAGAAUGUCUGUCUGAAAUCUUUGCCUUGAAUGGAGAAACUUCAUUGAACAAGAAGUUGGCUUCCAGUUUGCACAGGCGUCAAACGAAUGCUUUUUUUUUUAUUUUCUACCCUUCCCAAUGAAAACAAAACAGUGUUUUUAUGUGCUGUGCAAAUGGUUCCGUCAUGUAGUCUGACAGUUUUAUUUUUGCUAUAAUUUUUUUAAAUAAAGAGAAAACCCAAAGGAAAAACACUGGGUUAACAUUUCAUCUGGAUGAACAUUUGAAUUCAGAAUUUACCUGGAGGUAUAGCUAGAUUCUUUUUUUUUCUUUUUUUUCUUGGUUUUUUUUUUUUAGAAAAACAGCAAAACCGAUGAUGUCAAGAGGGAGCAAGCUGAGAUGAAAACUAAUGGUCUUCCUCAAAAAAUUAAGCUACUCUUUUUCUCAUAUUUUUCCUUCUUGUUUUAAAUCUAGCGUGUUUUUGUUUUGUUUUGAGGUUUUUUUAGAAAUGUUUAGGUAAGGUUUAUCUUGAAUCUUAAUUGCCUUAAUUUUUAAGGACGUCAAAGGCUCUCAAGGCAAGCUGUCAACGUCUUGUUAGAAAACCCGAGAAGGAAUUGAAACCUGCUUACACCAGUGUCAGCUGGUGUGGAAGUUUAAUAGACUGAAUUUUUGGGGUGAACAAAAAAAAACCUGUACAGUUUAAAAGAAAAUGAUUUUCUUCUUUUGAAGAAAACUUGAUGAUUAAAGAACUGUGGCAACUGAGAGGAUUGGAAAAAGUGCUGGGACUUUUAUGAACUUUGUCUUAAGUGUUGACAGAAAAAAAAUUCUAGAAGGCUAAAGCAUUUUACAGUAAAGUUAUUGAACUGAGAAAAAAACUAACUGCAUUAUAAAAAAUGCAGGGUUUUUUUCUUGCAGAAUGCAGAUUUUUUUUAUUUACAAAGCGUGAUCGCUAGCAAAAGCAUUAGUGCUUUUUAUCUGCAGUCUUUUUUAUGAGCUUUAAGAAGUUUUUAGUCUGCUUUGCUUGUCACAUUGCAAAAACCUAGCUUAAGAGCAUUAAAAAAAAACUUAAGUAGAUAGGAGCUUAUGGUCAAAAAAGUGCAAAAAAAGCAAUAGAUAGAAGAAAUUGUUGACAAUUUCUGUAGUCUUUCCUAGUUGUGAUCAAAUGCAGCCUAUGGAUGGCCUAUUUUAUACCAAAGAUGAAGUGACACCCUAACGCAGUCCAGAAGAUAGAGUUUUUUUUUUCUUUUUUUAUCUUUAUUUGACCUACAUGGCCGGACCAGUUCUUACUUUUUGUUUGUUUAAACUAUCUUCCACUGGUGUUUUACAUACUGCCUAUGUUCAUAAUGAAAAUUUCAGAGUAAUUGGUACUAGAAACACAUACCUGCUGUGUUUUGGAGAAAUUCAGUGCGAGGACAUCUGGGUUACCAACUGGUCUUGAGUUGGGCUUUAAUUUCUAUGACCUUUUUGUUACAUUGCCUGUUCUUUUGUAUUUCUACCAAAACUACAGUCUUCCUUCUGAAUUCCAACAUCCCACAGAUUCAUUUCCUCACCUCAGUCUUUGUCAUCUUCCAGCAUGCAUAGCCACCUUGAUUCUACAUCUGUUUUUCAGUAAUGCAUUUGAAUCACCGAUUAGAUGCCACAAAAAGCAAAUUUUGGUUCUCUUUUAAAUUCUCUCAAAGGGAAAAUUAAAAAUUGCUUAGAUUAAUGCUGUUAUGCAGGCAGGAAGUAGAAAUUCAUUUUCCCUUCUAUGAGUUCUGCUUUCUUAAUUUGUUGGCUGACAAUCACUAAUUAGUAUGAUUAGGCAAAAGACAGUACCUAAAUUGGAUCCAUUGAAAUCUACUUUAGGAAUGACAACUAUUUUACAAUGAAAAAUGCUGAUUAAAAUACUUGCUUUUUCCAAACAAACAAAAAAUAGAGAAGCAAGCCAGAGUAAAACAAGUGAUUUUUCUGUAAGAAGAUUACAGAAAAGCAGCAUUUAAAUAAAGACACACACACACACACACACACACGAAGCCAAACAAUUGAACUUUCCUCCAUCAAAGAGAAAGGGGAAGCUUCACUACAGUUCUUGUGGUGCAUUAGAAACAGGGUAUCCAUUUAAAAAAAUAAAAUAUCAAUCAUUUUUAUAUUGGAUUAACUUGAUUCAGCCACCCUGAUUCUAAGUGAGAUCUAUGGUUCCCUUAACUGAUCUUUUUUUUUAAAAAAAAAAAGCAUAUUUUUUUAAAAUUACUAAAGUAGUACCUUAUUUUUUAACAUAGUGGGGGGUGUGGGGUGGGGUUACCCAAGCAAAAGGCUGCUAUAUAUGCAACACGUCAAAGAGAAAAAUGGGAACUCAUCUGGUUAGCCACCAUAGAUACAGGGCUUGGUUUUCAGGAGAGUCAAACUACUUAAAACUCUCUUUGCCUUCAAAUGGAGUUUUUAGUAUUCUGAAUACCAGGCCCCAGAAAAGUAAUGUUUUUUCCCUCUAUUUUGUAAAAAAAAAAAAAAAGAAAGAAAAAAAAAAAGGCCUCUAGCUUUUUAUUUUCUUUUCCACAUGCUUUCACAUUGCUGUUUACUUUUUGUGAGUGGCACACGAGUUUUGUCCUUGGAGAAGGGUGUCCCCAUUCAGAAGCGGUAGGGGGGAAAAACAAGCUAGCCUUAUUUUCUUCCUUUUUACACUGUUUCUCUUUUUCUCUGAAUUCUUUGUACAAAUAGAGAUAACCCCAGGCACAAUUCAAUUGAAUAUGAAAUAAACAUGUGUUGUUUUGUUUCUGUAUACGUUCUGUUACACAAAAAAAGUCUCAUUUACUAUCAACAAUGAGGCUACAAGGUAGCUACCAUGUGGCUGAUGAGUAUGCUGAGGUACCUUCCGGUUUCUAUUCAGAACUCUGCUGCUUUAUUUAUACAUUCAGAAACAUUUUUGGUAUUAUUUUCAACAAAUAAAGUUAGACAAUUUCAGUGUUUUUUAUUAAGCCAGACAGGCAAAUAGUUAUCAGGAUGCCUGUCCAUUUAAACUGUUUUAAGUACAUUCUGUGUUAGAACUGUUUCAUUUUUUACCAUGCUACAAUGUUGACUAUUGUUUGAAAACCAAAAAAAAGAACAAACAAAGAACCAGAAGGAAGAAGACAAUGGAUCCUCUGAAUCCAAUAAACUAUCUUUCUUUCUUAUCCCCAAACUGAUGAAUUGGUACUUAAAGGCUCACGAGUUACAGCUUAUGAGUUAUAAACAGUAAUAUAUCACCAGGUAAGAUAUAUGUAAAAUAUAAAAAAAUUUUCAGAAAGGGGAAACCUUUAUUUGCAAGAAUCAAAGAUGAGAUAAAGGAAUAUGGAUGAAGUCUGUUCAGUGCAGCAGACCUGCCCCUUGGGUAUCAUCAUAACACAGAGAUGCCCAUUUGCUUCUGAAAACUGAAUCUGGUUUGCUUUAUAUUCUACCUAACAAGGUUUUUAGGGGCAUUUGUUUUGAGAACCAGUCUAGUUGGUUCAAUAUCUAGGUCCUGCCAACUUAGCCUUAAAUAUCAGGAGGGUUUCUGGAAGGUUGCAGAAACUGCUCCAGAAGUCAAAGGCAAUGGUGCCUGUUGCAACUCUCUGGAAAUCAAAUCAAAUCCGUAAGUUAAACUGCAGAUAUACUUUCCAUCACACCUGAACUCUUGUAAAUAGUCUGAUUUAGAUAUUUGGUUGGGUUUUUUUGUUUGGGUUUUUUUUCCUUUGGAAAAUAAGUAAUAAGAGGGGUGUCAGAAAAAUAUGCAUCAUGGCUGGAGUAUUCUGAAUACCCAGGAUAUUGGAUAACGGCUAUAAUGGAACUGAAUACAGUAUAAUAUGUAGCAUUAGCAGGUGCUAGUGACAAAGGCAGAGUCUAAUGCAGGGCGCUAGAUCCUGGCUGUUCCAAAUGAAAUAAAAUGCUGAGGUAGUUCUCUGUCUUGCUCUACUGCUGGUUUUAUUAACACUUCAAUUAUGACAGCCAGCCAUAGAAUUUGGGAUGCCCUCACGGUCCCUACCAUUGAAACAGACUCUUAAAAUGUCCCUAGCUGCUGCAUACUUGUAUGGUUCUGUUUCCCAAGGGAUUUAGACUGCCUUUCUAUGAUAAGCUGAGAAAACCGGUGUCAUGCAGAACGAGGCCUAUUUUAGAGCAGUUGCAUCAUGAUGUAUUAUUUUCUACUGUGGAUGCAUGCACAACUGUGGAAGAUGAGAGUUGGUGAUCAGGGAAGUGAGGGAUUCUGCAAUGGGCAUAAGCAUUAAAAUAGGUUUUUACAUGAGUAAAAAUCAAAUGAAGGGUCUUAUUUAUGUAUGUAUGUGUACCAAAAUUCAGCAAAUUUGAGGAAGCCUGCAUUGUAAUAAAGUUUAUUUUUAAUAUGUCAUAGUAUUUGGAUCUAUAUUAUGUUGUCUAUGGUACUGAAGGAUGAGAUUGAUACUCAAUGUUUAACAAGUUGCCUUGGUUCAUAAUUUUAAGCUUAAUAGCACUUAUCAGCCAGCCUCUUCAUUUUAAUGCUGAGGUUGACAUGAGUAAAACAGGUUUAAACAGACUCUCUGCACUAUACCUACAGUAAGAGUCAUGCUAAAGAGUGAUAGUAGGCUUAAAGUAAUGAAUCAGUCCAGUUUUAGUGAUGAGACCAAAUGUGGUAGUUGAAGAUAGUUAUGUUUGAUCCACACAUGGCCAACAUUUCUUUACAAAACUUUAUUUAACUUGCAAUUGGUCUUGAUGUAAAAGAAGUGUCCUUGGGCGACCGAUUUUUCCAGGUCUUCUAGGUAGCCCAUAUGAACUGAGGAAAUACUAAGGGUGUGAUGGAAAUGCAAAAGAUAACAACAAAACAACAGGCAGAUUAUUCCAGGGAGCCUCUCCUUUCUGGUUGAUGACAUUUAUUUUCUCUCUAAUAAUGGUGAUUCCUUUCAUUUUCUAAUACAUGCACACUGACUAGUCAUGUACACACUUUGUCAGAAGGAAGGGGUGUAUCAGCAGGACAUUGUUCAUAUUCUUCAACAAAGUGGAUUUCUGGAAUCAGCAAGAGGCAAAUGAGCGGCAUGGGUAAACGAGGAGAGAAUUAUUUUUCCCUCAAAAGAAGCACCACACUUCCACAUCAGUCAUAUCAUCCAAAUAGACUGGAACGCUGUCUGCACCCCUCAGAUUCAUCUUCAUGCCUCAGAGCAUGCAGAAGAGACCAGUUCUCUCCCCUUUGUUGAUGUGUUCUUUGUUAAAAAUCAACAUAAAAAAAUGACAAAAUGUACAAAAAUGGUUCUUUUGCUUCCCAUGAUAAGAAAAUAUCUUGUGUCUAUAUCAGUUAUUCUGGUUUUUAUUCCUCACCAAUGACAGACAAUUUCCUUUCACCCUAAUAAAAUUUUGUAAUGAAGUGAAAAAUGUCAGCUGUUGAAAGGUCCGCAAACCCAUUUUUCUUUAUAGGCCUCAAUCUCAGAAGGAAUUCAAUACCCCCAGAGAUCUAGGCCUGUUGAUUUAAAAAAAAAAAUCUGUCCAGUGUUCAUCGUAUUUUCAGUCUUUUGUUUUCUUUCUCAAGGAUGAAGAAUGUAUGUUUCUGGUGGAAUUUACCAUCAGUUAUAUUUUAAGAACUUCCCAAAAAUCAGGUUAAAGAGGACAACAUAAUGGUAGCAUAACUACAGUUAUGCAUCCUAAAGUGGAAAAAAGCUGAGUAAAUCAUUUUCUUUUCUUGAGGAAAAAUAAUUUAUGUAGAAGGAGGAAGCAUCCAGUAUUUGUAAAGGAAAUUUUAAUUGUUUUCCUAUUUAAAGGAGAAUUAAAAGCUUCCAUCUUUAAGAAAAUCAAAGUAGCACUGAAGCUAGAUGACUCUCCUAUCAAGAAAAAUGUAUCACAUCUUUGAGACAGGGGUUCUUUCAAAUCUUUACAUCCUCACUAUUGCCAAAUUGUAGACUAAAGAACCUCUGGGAAACAGUAAAUUAUGGAUCUUAUUUAUAUGGGCAUCCUUGUGUUGAUGUCUUGGAAUAAUGUCUACUGCUAUUAUGUUGGGGGUUUUUUAAUUUUUGUUUUCCAUUUGUACCACAACCCUAAUAGCUGCCAUUUUUCCACUCCUGGGGCUUUCUGUAGAUCAGUGGAUGUUAGGUUUAAACUUCUGUUUUCUUUGAUGAAGCUUUCAAUAAAAAAAUAAAGAAAAGC
Gavialis gangeticus (Gharial) is the source of this 7260-nucleotide RNA transcript. It is a transcript of the gene named RNA binding motif single stranded interacting protein 3, with no coding region annotated. The transcript has 14 exons. The record is from RefSeq and is a predicted model, not a curated record. NCBI's taxonomy places the organism in Eukaryota, Metazoa, Chordata, Crocodylia, Gavialidae.